Molecule: ribosomal RNA, 576 nt
Filed under: Triticum aestivum (bread wheat)
Lineage: Eukaryota; Viridiplantae; Streptophyta; Magnoliopsida; Poales; Poaceae
Description: partial small subunit ribosomal RNA
Source: RNAcentral
AUGAGUUGGAAUGUGCGAGGUCUAAAUUCCACCGCUAGACGGGCCACUGUGAGAGAAUUGGCCGCAAAAAAUAGCCUUGCUCUACUCUGCAUCCAAGAGACAAAGAUAGUGUCUUGGUCGUUGUCGCUAGUCAGGGAUAUUGGAGGAUAGAAGCUUGACCAGUGUGCGGUAUUGCCAGCGAUGGGUACAAGGGGAGGAGCUGCCAUCUUCUGGGACUCAGUUGUUGUCAGUGUUGCCACACACAGGAUCAGGCGAUUCUCAAUAACGGCAAGAGUCACUAUCCUAUCAAUAGGCUCAUGCUUCUGGUUGAUCACGGUCUACGGACCAGCGGAUGAGGUGAGGAAGGAUGAUUUCCUCUAGGAGCUUGUCGGCACUGCUCUGCCGCAGGGUCAACCAUGGUUGCUAAAUGGUGACUUCAACAUUAUAUAUGAGCCUCAUGACAAGAACAAUGACAACAUCAACAGAUGGACCAGGGCAAGUCCAGGGUUGCGAUUGAUCAUGCGGGGCUGCGAGAGAUCAAAUGCAAUAACAAGAGGUUCACAUGGAGCAACGAGAGGGAACGUCCAACAUUGGUGA